This is a long non-coding RNA of Sapajus apella (tufted capuchin), 167 nucleotides long. RefSeq lists it as uncharacterized. Lineage: Eukaryota; Metazoa; Chordata; Mammalia; Primates; Cebidae. The record is from RefSeq and is a predicted model, not a curated record. The transcript has 3 exons.
UAUCACUUUCAACAGAUUUCCAGUCUCUGAACCAAAUACCACCCAAUAUUCCAAAAGCAUCCAUGUAACUCAUUAGCAGACACUCCCCAUCCACACCCCACCAGCCCAACAGGACCCCUACUCUGCUCUCUGCCUCACCCUCUGCCUCCUGAUCACUCCACAUCAAU